AUUUCUGUUUUUAAAAAUCGGUCGUAACCUCACGGUUUCUGUACCAGGUUUCUUAAAUGCAUCCUCAGGGUUCUGAUAUCUGGUAUUAAUUUAUCGGAUUUUUGGUCCUUGUCAUUUACUGUGAGCAAAAUAGAGUGUUCAAAGCAGGGUUAGGGCAUGAAUACAUUAGCAUGGAAUAAUAAGAUAGGACCUUGGUCUAUUUUGUUGGUUUACAUUCCAAGGUAAUGAUUAAUAGGGAUAGUUGGGGGUAUUCGUAUUCAAUUGUCAGAGGUGAAAUUCUUGGAUUUAAGGAAGACGAACUACUGGGAAAGCAUUUACCAAGGAUGUUUUCAUUAAUCAAGAACGAAAGUUGGGGGAUCGAAGAUGAUUAGAUACUAUCGUAGUCUUAACCAUAAACUAUGCUGACUAGGGAUUGGUGGAAUAUAUCAAAGUUCUAUCAGCACUUUAUGAGAAAUUAAAGUUUUUGGGUUCUGGGGGGAGUAUGGUCGCAAGGGUGAAACUUAAAGAAAUUGACGGAAGGGGACUAUUAGGAGUGGAGCUUGGGGCUUAAUUUGACUUAACACGGGAAAACUUACCAGGUCCAGACAUAGUGAGGAUUGACAGAUUGAGAGCUCUUUCUUGAUUCUAUGGGUGGUGGUGCAUGGCCGUUCUUAGUUGGUGGAGUGAUUUGUCUGGUUAAUUCCCGUUAACGAACGAGACCCCCGCCUGGUAAAUAGUUAAUAGAAUACUAUGUAUUCUAUAUAACUUCUUAGAGGGACUUUCGGUGACUAAUCAAG
Molecule: ribosomal RNA, 776 nt
Filed under: uncultured marine chrysophyte
Lineage: Eukaryota; Chrysophyceae
Description: SSU rRNA
Rfam family: Eukaryotic small subunit ribosomal RNA
Source: RNAcentral